GGAACUAAGUACACCUAGCAAUAACAGAAAACAGAAGACCAACGUGACAAAACAGAUGAUGCGACGUGUCCUCACUCCAGCUUCAGUCGCGGGGAAGCUAUAAUAUUUUCUCACUGCUAUUAGCAUCGUGCUGCAUUUCCCAAGCUAAUUUCAAUACACGGUGAAAUGGUUUGGUACUGUGAUUUUAUAGGUCUUUUCCGACCGUAACAAUUCUACGGUUCUAUGAAGCUGUCCUGGUUGUCAGUGUUUUUGACCCAUCGUCAUGCAAAGACGCUCCUCCUUAAUUGUUAUCCCAUACUACACAGUUUGCAUGAAAUGGACAGAACCACCCCAAAUCCUUCACCCUCCCUUUGCCUGCGGGCUUCAUCCUGCACCCUUCAUCCUGCAUCCUUUACUCUUUACCCUCGAUCCUUCAUCCCACCCCUGCCACCGCAUCCCGCAUAGUGAGAUGACAUCUACGGCCAUCUGUGCUUGCAGUGGGACGUCACUGGGGACAUUACUGUCUGGGUGAGCUAAGCCCCGAGGCCUCGGGGUGGCUGUCAUAUGCUCCGGCUUGCCUAACAAAGCUAGGCUGUGCUAACGAAGCAACGAUCUCCACAUGAUGUGAAGCUGGGGCUGCGUGGACACAGCUGUGCUUUGUUUGGUGCUCAGGGCAGGGCCAGCCCCAAAGCCUCUUAAACCCCACUGGAGGCUGCUGGGAGCUAUUGAGGGCUGCUGGGAGUGUGGAGGUGCUUCUGGGGCUUGCUCCUUGUAGUAGGAGGCUGCUGAGUUUGCAGUCAUGAUUUUUGGGGGAGGCUAACCUGGGGAUAGUAUUGGUCUCUCUCUCUCUCUCUGUUCUUCUAGAAGCUGGUUUCUGUUGGGCUCCCCUGGUGGUUUUUGUGUGUGUUUGUUUGGUUGGUUGGUUUGUUUUUUUUUUUUUUUUUUGGAGGCAGUACAGUACUGCUACUGGGCUUCAAGUUUAUUUUUGUGGGGUUUCUUUUUUGGGAAACUGAAAGAGUUGCUGCUCCUGCGCUUCUCUGAUUUGUGGGGUUGUUGCAGUGGCUGCUGCUGGGUUCUUAUCAAGCUGCUUUUUCUUGAGGCCUAGAGGGUUCUGAAGGCGUUGCAACUCCUUGUGCUCAGAGUGACAGGUAAGCAAGAUGGAGCUAUGCACUUUCGCCUAGCUCUGGUACUGGUAAGUAAGAAGUGGUAAGUAAGGAGUUUAGGGGCUGCUGCUGGGGAGUGCCACGCACUGAAGGGCUCUCAGUGCCUCCUUGACUGCGGCAGCAGGUUGCUUGGCUCCCACACAGCUUUUCCUGGGGCCAUUAUUGUGCUGCAGCUGGGUUUUUCCCCUCAUCUCUUUUGUCUCCCCUAUGUUCUCUUGUAGGGGAUCUAUUAUUUCAUCACCUGAAGUAAGUGAUGACUGAUGGCAUUAAAGAAGAUGCGGCCAGCAGGAGGAGAGGCGAUUGUCUGCCUCUACUCAGGUCUUGUGAGUGCCCACCUGGAGUACUGCAUCCGGCACAAGACAGUCACAGGGCUCUUGGUAUGUGUCUGGAGGAGGACCACCACUCUUGUAAAGAAAGGUUGAGGGAACUGAGAAGGGAAGGCUUCUUGGGAAACCUCGUUGUGGCCUUCCGGUAGCUGGAAGGAAGGUAUAAAUGGAAGGGGAUUGACUGUUUAUGAGGGUGGAUGGUGAUAGGACAAGGGGGAAUGGUUUUAAGCUAAGAUGGGGAGGUUUAGGUGAAAGACUAGGAUGAGUUAUUGGGCUCAGAGGGUGGGGAUGCACUGGAAGGGGCUGGAUGAUCUUUGGUCCUUUUCCACCCAGGCCGUUCCAUGAUUCUGUGAUGAGGGGAGUGGCUGGCCCAGGAGGCACAGGUGCAAGUAAUUCACCUGCGCUUCCCAUGUGACUCCGGGUCUGCCCCUCCCUGGGCUCAUUUAAGGGCUAGCCUUUGCAGGGAAAAGGUCUCCUGGGUGAAGGCUGUUUUCUGAGAAGAGAUGUUCUAUAGCUAGAGACCCUCAUUGCUUCUCAGGGUCAGGGCUGUAGCCGAUCCUCUUGUAAACCCAGGCCUGUGAGCAGUUUCACUGGCGGUGAGCGCGUGGGAAUCGUUGGAGGCUUCCUGCCUUUAGUUGGAAGGGUCAGGGCUGCAUCUGAGCGUCUUCUGAGCCUGGACCUGUGAGGAGUUCCGCUGUUGGGUGAGUGCUGCUGUGGAUCAGAUCAGCCUGUGAGUGGUUCUAGUAGUGAUGGGACUGAGAAGGUACUCAGUGUGAGUACCUUCUCAGUCCCAUUGGUACUAGGGCUGCUCACAGUUGCUUGGGGAUCCUGGAAUUGUGUAAGUGUUUUUCCUGCAGGUCCAGAGCUGGUGUGGGGGUCCCCUUGUGAUGGAAGGUGCUGCUGUCCUGGAGCAUAGGGACUCCUGUGGUGAGAAGUUCUUCAGGAGGCUUUUUCUCCUUAGGUCUUUGGAGUUCUCAAAUAGGAAGAAGAGUCAUCUGUGCCCUGCUGUAAUGGGUUUGUGGAUGUUUCUGUUGUAGGUCACAGCCGGGGGGCAUACAAAAAAUGAACGAGUUGCAGCACCUCUCUAGCUAUCCCUGAUGAUUGCAUGGUGCUUAAUUUUUCAGUACUGAUGUUAAUUUGCAAGCCACAAGCAUCAAGCUGUCAAAACCAGUUAGCUAUGAGUUUAAAUAAUAGCAAGUUACGAAAUACUUGCUACUGUUCCUGCAUAGGGUCAAGCUGUCCUGAUUGCAGCAGCAUUUGUG
This is a non-coding RNA of Meleagris gallopavo (turkey), 2730 nucleotides long. Lineage: Eukaryota; Metazoa; Chordata; Aves; Galliformes; Phasianidae. The record is from RefSeq and is a predicted model, not a curated record.